This 383-nucleotide long non-coding RNA is filed under the name Zonotrichia albicollis (white-throated sparrow). RNAcentral's name for it is "lncRNA (ENSZALG00000007636.1)". The record is from RNAcentral. Lineage: Eukaryota; Metazoa; Chordata; Aves; Passeriformes; Passerellidae.
GAAGAAGAUUGAGGGGCACCAAGGUGGGUCCUGCUGGACAUCGGGUGUCACCACGGUGGGACCUGGAACUGGUGGGGGCACCAGGAAGGUCCUGCUGGAGAUAGGGAGUCACCAAGGUGGGACCUGGUGGAGAUUUGGGGUCACCAAAGUGGGACCUGGAGAAGAUCUGGGGUCCCCAAGGUGGGUUGUGGAGGAUCUGAAGAAGAUUGAGGGGCACCAAGGUGGGACCUGGUGGAGAUUGGGGUCACCAAGGUGGGACCUGGAGGACCUGGAGAAGAUUGAGGGGCACCAAGGUGGGACCUGGAGGAGAUCUGGAACACCAUGGUGGGUCCAGGAGGAGAUCAGAGACACCAAGGUGGGCUGGGCAGGACCAGGUGGAGAUG